Molecule: transfer RNA, 58 nt
Filed under: Dipodomys ordii (Ord's kangaroo rat)
Lineage: Eukaryota; Metazoa; Chordata; Mammalia; Rodentia; Heteromyidae
Rfam family: tRNA
About the family: Transfer RNA (tRNA) molecules are approximately 80 nucleotides in length. Their secondary structure includes four short double-helical elements and three loops (D, anti-codon, and T loops).
Source: Rfam by way of RNAcentral
UGGCUCAGUGGUAGAGCGCUUGCUUGGCAUGCAUGAGGUUCUGAGUUCAAUUCCUCAG